UAAGGAGACUGCCGGUGACAAACCGGAGGAAGGUGGGGAUGACGUCAAGUCAUCAUGGCCCUUACGGCCAGGGCUACACACGUGCUACAAUGGUCGGUACAAAGGGUUGCCAAGCCGCGAGGUGGAGCUAAUCCCAUAAAACCGAUCGUAGUCCGGAUCGCAGUCUGCAACUCGACUGCGUGAAGUCGGAAUCGCUAGUAAUCG
Molecule: ribosomal RNA, 204 nt
Filed under: Pseudomonas sp.
Lineage: Bacteria; Pseudomonadati; Pseudomonadota; Gammaproteobacteria; Pseudomonadales; Pseudomonadaceae
Description: partial 16S ribosomal RNA
Rfam family: Bacterial small subunit ribosomal RNA
Source: RNAcentral